RNAcentral lists this ribosomal RNA (200 nucleotides) under uncultured bacterium. Its description in RNAcentral is "partial 16S ribosomal RNA". It matches the Rfam family "Bacterial small subunit ribosomal RNA", at positions 29 to 218 of the family's 1533-position model. The record is from RNAcentral.
AACGAACAUUAGCGGCGCGCCUAACACAUGCAAGUCGAGCGAGAAGGAAGUAAUUCCUGUAAAGCGGCACACGGGUGAGUAACACGUAGGUAAUCUGCCUCGAGGUGGUGGAUAACCUUCCGAAAGGAGGGCUAAUACAGCAUGAGACCACGUCUUCGAGAGAGGAUGAGGUUAAAGCGGGCCUCUAUACAUAAGCUCGC